RNAcentral lists this ribosomal RNA (344 nucleotides) under uncultured bacterium. RNAcentral describes it as "bacterial SSU rRNA". It matches the Rfam family "Bacterial small subunit ribosomal RNA", at positions 8 to 334 of the family's 1533-position model. The record is from RNAcentral.
AGAGUUCGAUUAUGGCUCAGGAUGAACGCUGGCGGCGUGCCUAACACAUGCAAGUCGAACGAAGCACUUAUCUUAGAUUCUUCGGAUGAAGAGAUUUGUGACUGAGUGGCGGACGGGUGAGUAACGCGUGGGUAACCUGCCCUGUACAGGGGGAUAACAGUUAGAAAUGACUGCUAAUACCGCAUAAGCGCACAAGGACACAUGUCCUGGUGUGAAAAACUCCGGUGGUACAGGAUGGGCCCGCGUCUGAUUAGGUAGUUGGUGGGGCAACGGCCUACCAAGCCGACGAUCAGUAGCCGACCUGAGAGGGUGACCGGCCACAUUGGGACUGAGACACGGCCCAA